GCUCAGUAACACGUGGAUAACAUGCCCUAAGGAGGGGGAUAAUCUCGGGAAACUGAGGGUAAUACCCCAUAGGUCUAUUUUGCUGGAAUGCUAAUAGGCCGAAAACUCCGGUGCCUUAGGAUUGGUCUGCGGUCUAUCAGGCUGUAGUGGGUGUAAUGGACCCACUAGCCCGUGACGGAUAUGGGCCUUGAGAGAGGGAGCCCAGAGAUGGACUCUGAGACAUGAGUCCAGGCCCUACGGGGCGCAGCAGGCGCGAAACCUCCGCAAUGCGAGCAAUCGCGACGGGGGGACCCCAAGUGCCACUCUUAACGGGGUGGCUUUUCUUAAGUGUAAAAAGCUUCAGGAAUAAGGGCUGGGCAAGACCGGUGCCAGCAGCCGCGGUAAU
RNAcentral lists this ribosomal RNA (385 nucleotides) under uncultured archaeon. Its description in RNAcentral is "bacterial SSU rRNA". It matches the Rfam family "Archaeal small subunit ribosomal RNA", at positions 88 to 474 of the family's 1478-position model. The record is from RNAcentral.